GAUGAACGCUGGCGGCGUGCUUAACACAUGCAAGUCGAACGAGAAGUGAGGACGGAAACCUUCGGGCGGAAGGCUUUACUUCGAGUGGCGGACGGGUGAGUAACGCGUGGGUAACCUGCCUCAUACAGGGGGAUAACAGUUGGAAACGACUGUUAAUACCGCAUAAGACCACAGCACCGCAUGGUGCGGGGGUAAAAACUCCGGUGGUAUGAGAUGGACCCGCGUUCGAUUAGCCAGUUGGCGGGGUAACGGCCCACCAAAGCGACGAUCGAUAGCCGAUCUGAGAGGAUGACCGGCCACAUUGGGACUGAGACACGGCCCAAACUCCUACGGGAGGCAGCAGUGGGGAAUAUUGCACAAUGGGGGAAACCCUGAUGCAGCGACGCCGCGUGAGUGAAGAAGUAUUUCGGUAUGUAAAGCUCUAUCAGCAGGGAAGAAAAUGA
This 443-nucleotide ribosomal RNA is filed under the name Lachnospiraceae bacterium oral taxon 419. Its description in RNAcentral is "bacterial SSU rRNA". It matches the Rfam family "Bacterial small subunit ribosomal RNA", at positions 28 to 454 of the family's 1533-position model. Lineage: Bacteria; Bacillati; Bacillota; Clostridia; Lachnospirales; Lachnospiraceae. The record is from RNAcentral.